RNAcentral lists this ribosomal RNA (305 nucleotides) under uncultured bacterium. RNAcentral describes it as "bacterial SSU rRNA". It matches the Rfam family "Bacterial small subunit ribosomal RNA", at positions 335 to 650 of the family's 1533-position model. The record is from RNAcentral.
GCUCCUACGGGGGGCAGCAGUAGGGAAUUUUCGGCAAUGGGGGGAACCCUGACCGAGCAACGCCGCGUGAACGAAGAAGUUAUUCGUAAUGUAAAGUUCUUUUAUCAGGGAAGAAAGAGGAAUUUGACGGUACCUGAGGAAUAAGCUCCGGCUAACUACGUGCCAGCAGCCGCGGUAAUACGUAGGUGGCAAGCGUUGUCCGGAUUUACUGGGUGUAAAGGGCGUGCAGCCGGGCCGACAAGUCAGAUGUGAAAUCCGCGGGCUUAACCCGCGAACUGCAUUUGAAACUAUUGGUCUUGAGUACC